Molecule: ribosomal RNA, 237 nt
Filed under: uncultured bacterium
Lineage: Bacteria
Description: partial 16S ribosomal RNA
Rfam family: Bacterial small subunit ribosomal RNA
Source: RNAcentral
CGAACGGGUGCGUAACACGUGAGCGACCUGCCCGCUUGUGGGGGAGUAGCCGGCCCCAACGGCCGGGUAAUACCGCAUACGUUCUUCUGGGGGCAUUCCCGGGAGAAGAAAACUCAGGUGCAGGCGGAGGGGCUCGCGGCCUAUCAGCUGGUUGGCGGGGUAACGGCCCACCAAGGCAUCGACGGGUAGCUGGUCUGAGAGGAUGGCCAGCCACAUUGGGACUGAGAGACGGCCCAG